RNAcentral lists this ribosomal RNA (1327 nucleotides) under Brassica juncea (brown mustard). Its description in RNAcentral is "bacterial SSU rRNA". The stretch from base 383 to 1327 matches the Rfam family "Eukaryotic small subunit ribosomal RNA". RNAcentral also lists the same sequence under 2 other names. Lineage: Eukaryota; Viridiplantae; Streptophyta; Magnoliopsida; Brassicales; Brassicaceae. The record is from RNAcentral.
CGUCUUGUGUGUGCUGAAGGACAGCCACGGACAGUCACGGACGUCUUGUGUGUGCUGGCGGAAACCCACAGACGUCCUGUGUGUACUGAACAGACAGCCCACGUGGGCCAAAAUCACCAAAACAGUCCACGGGAAGGGCCAGCGUGCUGAUAUGUGUACUGAUGGAAAGCCACGGACGUCAUGUGUGUGAUGAUGGACACACACGGACGUCCUGUGUGUGCUGACAGACACACACAGACGUCCUGUGUGUUCUGAAGGACAGCCACAGACAGCCACGGACGUCCUGUGUGUGCUGGCGGACACCCACGGACACACAUAGACACACACGGACAGCCACGGAUGUCCUGUGUGUGCUGAAGGACAGCCACAGACAGCCAGGGACAUUCUGUUUGUGCUGGCGGACACCCACGAACGUCCUGUGUGUACUGAACAGACAGCCCACGUGGGCCAAAAUCACCCAAACAGUCCACGGGAAGGGCCAGCGUGCUGAGUCCAAUGACCAACGUGCUUAUAUGUGUACUGAUGGACAGCCACGGAUGUCCUAGUCUUAACCAUAAACGAUGCCGACCAGGGAUCAGCAGAUGUUGCCUUUAGGACUCCGCUGGCACCUUAUGAGAAAUCAAAGUUUUUGGGUUCCGGGGGGAGUAUAGCAGCAUGGCUGAAACUUAAAGGAAUUGACGUAAGGGCACCACCAGGAGUGGAGCCUGCGGCUUAAUUUGACUCAACACGGGGAAACUUACCAGGUCCAGACAAAGUAAGGAUCGAUAGACUGAGAGCUCUUUCUUGAUUCUAUGGGUGGUGGUGCAUGGCCGUUCUUAGUUGGUGGAGUGAUUUGUCUUCUUAAUUUCGUUAACGAACGAGACCACAGCCUGCUAACUAGCUACGUGGAGGCAUCCCUUCAUGGCCGGCUUCUUAGAGGGACUAUGGCCGUUUAGGACAAGGAAGUUUGAGGCAAUAACAGGUAUGUGAUGCCCUUAGAUGUUAUGGGCCGCACGCGCGCAACACCGAUGUAUUCAACGAGUUCACACCUUGGCCGACAGGCCCGGGUAAUCUUUUAAAUUUCAUCGUGAUGGGGAUAGAUCAUUGCAAUUGUUGGUCUUCAACAAGGAAUUCCUAGUAAGCGCGAGUCAUCAGCUCGUGUUGACUUCGUCAUUGCCCUUUGUACACACCGCCCGUCGCUCCUACCGAUUGAAUGAUCCGGUGAAGUGUUCAGAUCGCGGCGACGUGGGUGGUUCACCGUCUGCGACGUCGCGAGAAGUCCACUAAACCUUAUCAUUUAGAGGAAGGAGAAGUCGUAACAAAGUUUCCGUAGGUGAACCUGCAGAAG